This 2293-nucleotide long non-coding RNA is filed under the name Triticum aestivum (bread wheat). Its description in RNAcentral is "long non-coding RNA (TAES_LNC007283)". Lineage: Eukaryota; Viridiplantae; Streptophyta; Magnoliopsida; Poales; Poaceae. The record is from RNAcentral.
AAAAUGUUUGUGGCAUUUUAAAAAAAUCUAACAGUUAGCAAAUGGUUUGCAUGUUUAAGAAACAUGUUCAUGGCAUUUACGCAUAAUGUUCAAUGUGUGUUAAAAAUAUUCAUCGUGUAUCAAAAAAUGUUCAACAUGUAUUUGAGAAAAAUGUUCAACCCAUAAAUGGAAAUACUCAAUGUGUAUGUGAAAACUGAUCAUCAUGUAUAUGAAAAAUGUUCUAUGUGCAUUUGAAAAAUGUUUGCGUGUAUUUCAGAAAUGAAGGAAAAAAUGAAAGGAAAGGAAGACAAUAAUAAAUAAAUGAGCACAAAAAAAAAGGAGAAAAUCGAAAGGAAAAAAAUCGAUAUAGAAAACACGUAGAAAAGAACACGCGAAAUUUUAGAUAGUCCAAACCGGUCCAUAGCUUUCUAAAACCGCUCCCACAAAAACCACAGAACACACCUGGGUCGUCAUGCUAGCGGUGCUAAGGGCGAGACAAGAUGAGCUACCGCCUCGUAAAGAGUGAGAUAUAGCUAUCGUGUUGUUUGGUACACAUGGGAUUGGGACCAGGGAUGGAGCUUAGUUGAAACAAAAGUGAGCGGUGGUCUGCCUAGCCUUGGGCCAAAUCAUUGAAUAAGGUGAAACUGGGUUCGAGAAGCUAAACUCGUGUGUUUUUCUUCAAUCUGGCCCGCCCAAUAAUAUUUUGGUACCUCCACCACUGCUUUGCGAGGGCUUUCAUGGGAUUUUCCCUGUUGGGCUGAAAAGCCCAAAAAUACCCAGAGUGACGUUUUGGACACAUGGUUUGAUAGGAUCUGCCUCGUUCUAUCUCGUGAAUUCCCUCCAUCGAGGUGGACCGGGCAGCUUCGACCUUCCUUCGACCGAGGUAGAUCUGAGACGAUGCACACUACUGCAAAGUAAAAGUGCAUUUAGUCCCUGGUGGUAUUUUAAUGUGAUGACAAUGUGGUUAGUGAGAAUCUAACAGUUAACAAAUGGUUUGCAUGUUUCAAAAACAAGCUCAUGGCAUUUACGCAUAAUGUUCAAUGUGUGUUAAAAAUAUUCAUCGUGUAUCAAAAAAUGUUCAACAUGUAUUUGAGAAAAAUGUUCAACCCAUAAAUGGAAAUACUCAAUGUGUAUGUGAAAACUGAUCAUCAUGUAUAUGAAAAAUGUUCUAUGUGCAUUUGAAAAAUGUUUGCGUGUAUUUCAGAAAUGAAGGAAAAAAUGAAAGGAAAGGAAGACAAUAAUAAAUAAAUGAGCACAAAAAAAAGGAGAAAAUUGAAAGGAAAAAAAUCGAUAUAGAAAACACGUAGAAAAGAACACGCGAAAUUUUAGAUAGUCCAAACCGGUCCAUAGCUUUCUAAAACCGCUCCCACAAAAACCACAGAACACACAUGGGUCGUCAUGCUAGCGGCGCUAGGGGCGAGACAAGAUGAGCUACCGCCUCGUAAAGAGUGAGAUAUAGCUAUCGUGUUGUUUGGUACACAUGGGAUUGGGACCAGGGAUGGAGCUUAGUUGAAACAAAAGUGAGCGGUGGUCUGCCUAGCCUUGGGCCAAAUCAUUGAAUAAGGUGAAACUGGGUUCGGGAAGCUAAACUCGUGUGUUUUUCUUCAAUCUGGCCCGCCCAAUAAUAUUUUGGUACCUCCACCACUGCUUUGCGAGGGCUUUCAUGGGAUUUUCCCUGCUGGGCUGAAAAGUCCAAAAAUACCCAGAGUGACGUUUUGGACACAUGGUUUGAUAGGAUCUGCCUCGUUCUAUCUCGUGAAUUCCCUCCAUCGAGGUGGACCGGGCAGCUUCGACCUUCCUUCGACCGAGGUAGAUCUGAGACGAUGCACGCUACUGCCAAGUAAAAGUGCAUUUAGUCCCUGGUGGUAUUUUAAUGUGAUGACAAUGUGGUUAGUGAGAAUCUAACAGUUAACAAAUGGUUUGCAUGUUUAAAAAACAUGUUCAUGGCAUUUACGCAUAAUGUUCAAUGUGUGUUAAAAAUAUUCAUCGUGUAUCAAAAAAUGUUCAACAUGUAUUUGAGAAAAAUGUUCAACCCAUAAAUGGAAAUACUCAAUGUGUAUGUGAAAACUGAUCAUCAUGUAUAUGAAAAAUGUUCUACGUGCAUUUGAAAAAUGUUUGCGUGUAUUUCAGAAAUGAAGGAAAAAAUGAAAGGAAAGGAAGACAAUAAUAAAUAAAUGAGCACAAAAAAAAGGAGAAAAUUGAAAGGAAAAAAAUCGAUAUAGAAAACACGUAGAAAAGAACACGCGAAAUUUUAGAUAGUCCAAACCGGCCCAUAGCUUUCUAAAACCGCUCCCACAAAAACCACAGAACACAC